RNAcentral lists this long non-coding RNA (2410 nucleotides) under Homo sapiens (human). RNAcentral's name for it is "HSALNT0030192". Lineage: Eukaryota; Metazoa; Chordata; Mammalia; Primates; Hominidae. The record is from RNAcentral.
GAGAGGAGAAGGCGUGACACUCAGGGGUGCAGAGACAGGAGCGGGCGCCCCACGCCCCUACCCCAGCCUCUGGGGACUGAGUGCCGUUGGGUGGAGAGGUCGGAGCUGACUCUCUGGAGAAAUGGCCGAAGACGCCCCUUCCCAUCCCCAACCCACUCUCCCUUGGAGAAGAGAAGGGGCGUGUUUCCACCUCGCUGUAACCCAGCGCCAAACCCUUCCCCUCCCCGCAAGGCGCGUAACGGUUCCUGCAAUCUGGGGACAACGCUGCGGGCAUCGAGGCGGUGGCGCUUGAUUUCCUUUAAAGUACCUACCACGCCACCCGCUACCUGUAAUAAUCCAUCUGAAGAGGUCGCCGGGCAGCGCCUCGGCAGACAGACUGACCUGCGGGGAGGUGCGGUUUCCAGUGGCGCGGGACAGCCGGCUCCGAGAAGGAACUGGGACCUUUGCCUAGGGCAAGACGUCAACAGGAACCCGCAGGCCCGGCCUGGACACCUGCUGCCCUCACUGGAAGCUUUAACUCCCACUCGAGUCUCUUGGCGUCGUCAGUGCCAGGAGCGCUUGGAUUGGGAUGGGGACGGAGAAGGGUGCCUCGCUCGCCGAGCCCCGCUGCCCUUGGGGACCUGGCAAAGUCGAGGUUUCCUCACAGCGUUGAGAUUGAGACUGGGGGUCGGCAGCACUGAGAAGUGAAGGAAUAUUUGGGAGGAUCAGAAGCUUGGUCCUGAUUUUGCCAUCAACAGGAACUUGAUGACUUCAAGGGAGUCCCCAAACCCUGGGUUUCUGUUUUCUCAACUCUAACAUGAGGGGCUAGAUGCAUCUGGUUUAGUUAGUCUCCAUGAUGGUUUAGUUCGUCUCCAUGAUCCUGUGAAUUUCAGAUGUUGAAAAUCUUCGGAAAAGCCCUGAAAGAUGAACAGUGGUCUCAAAUAGUCAAGACCCCCUGCUGGGAGGAGCUUCUAUCCUGCUCUGUGGAAGAAAUGGGCAUGCCAGAUGCCUGGAAGAUCAGAGGCUCACAUUCCAGCUGUAGGUGGCCCACCAGGUGUCAACAACUGUAGAGUUCCAUCAAGAGUCAUCAUUUUACAGUUACAAGUCGGAGGGGCCUUCACAGAUCCGUCAGGCUCAACACUGCCUCCUUAGUGAGCCUGUGAACCACCCAAGACGGCUGGUCAUCAGUGUCAUCCUCUUCCUUUUCCGGACAACUAUCUUUAAAAGAAAAAAAAAGAGUGUCUUUGAAUGUAUCCAUUUUAUCCCCAAAUAAUCUUGUUUAAUAAAUUCCUUAUUAGGCCAAAUCCAAUGUGCUGAAAUAUCUGCCAAGCAUGUCAUUCUACACAAAAGGGAUUUGCAAAUAGCCAGUAGUUGGCGUGAAGAAAGGACAUGUGAAAGCGCUGGGUGUGGAAUUUCCCAUCCUCGGCCGGAGGUCUACUACAGCUCGCUGUUUGCAGAUCUGGGCUGAGCUAUGCAUCACAUUGUUCAUGAAAGAAAAAGCAACUGCUCUCCCCAGUGCCCCUUCCCCGCUCCACAUGGCUGCGAUCAGCAGCCCCAAGACCCUAAUUGCCACAGCCUAUUAGAAAUAAUGAGACUUACAUGGCAGAAGCCAAGGGUAAAAGCGACAUCUCGCAACACGAAAGGUUAAUAUCAACAUAUACAGCUAGUGAGUGCAAAGGGCACCUCAGUUGGUGGCUCAUUAUGGCGGGCUGACCCAUAGGGAAAGUGUCAUUCUGCAGAGAGGCCUUUCUCAGGAUGUGGCAGCAAAAGUUACAAAAGAUAAGGACUUGCCUGUGAAACGCACUCAACUAAUGAGAGCUGAAGAUUGUUUGAAAUAUCCCGAUGACCUCACAGAUGGGGGAUGCUGAUUAAGAUGGCUACAGGAGGCUCCUUUCUUGUCUGACAGCCCAUUGAGAAGCUUUGGUGAGAUGUGACUAACAGGCCGUGAAGGUGUCUCCAUCUUCUCUGACAUGGUCCAUGCUUUGGGCAAAACAAACAUGAAAAAUAAGUCUGAACUGACACACAUGUUUGAAUUUAGUUUUCAGAGCCAUAUUUGGGGGAAGGAGCACUGGUGGGGCCGUCAGCGAUGAUUCCUUUAUGGUAAAGGGUGUUCGUGACUACUUGCGUGACUAAUCGCAUGACUGCGCUGGGGGGUGAGCCAACGGCAAAUUGAGGUCUUGAACACUUGACAAAACAACCCCUGUUCUGUGGGUGAAAUUCUAUAGAGCUUCAUGCGUAAUUAAAUGAAAGUUUCACAAGAGUCUACACCUCAAUCAUUUAAUGCCGAUAUGUAGCACAAAGGAAGGAUUUUUGCCACAUCAAAAUACAUCCAUGAAACAAUGGAGAAAUGUCCCAAGUUUUCAGAGUCAGAGAUACUCACAGAAGAAACCCUGGAGUUCUCUUGACCUUCAUUUAGUGCCUGGGACUCUGA